This 382-nucleotide ribosomal RNA is filed under the name uncultured bacterium. Its description in RNAcentral is "bacterial SSU rRNA". It matches the Rfam family "Bacterial small subunit ribosomal RNA", at positions 28 to 412 of the family's 1533-position model. The record is from RNAcentral.
GACGAACGCUGGCGGCGUGCUUAACACACGCAAGUCGAGCGGUAAGGCCCUUUCGGGGGUACACGAGCGGCGAACGGGUGAGUAACACGUGGGUGACCUGCCCUUAGCUCUGGGAUAAGCCUGGGAAACUGGGUCUAAUACCGGAUAUGACUCCAUGACGCAUGUUGUGGGGUGGAAAGCCUUGUGCGGCUAGGGAUGGGCCCGCGGCCUAUCAGCUUGUUGGUGGGGUGAUGGCCUACCAAGGCGACGACGGGUAGCCGGCCUGAGAGGGCGACCGGCCACACUGGGACUGAGACACGGCCCAGACUCCUACGGGAGGCAGCAGUGGGGAAUCUUGCGCAAUGGGCGAAAGCCUGACGCAGCGACGCCGCGUGAGGAUGAC